Brassica napus (rape) is the source of this 1166-nucleotide RNA transcript. It is a transcript of the gene named methyltransferase-like protein 22, with no coding region annotated. The transcript has 9 exons. Lineage: Eukaryota; Viridiplantae; Streptophyta; Magnoliopsida; Brassicales; Brassicaceae. The record is from RefSeq and is a predicted model, not a curated record.
AAAAAAGAAGAAGAUAAAAACACCCCCAGCGAUCCCUAGAUUCUUUCUCGAGAGAGCCUAAGAACGAUGGAGGAUUCAGAGAAUGAUCAUGUGAUGAGCGAGAUUCAUCUGGGUUGCCCACCCACCACUAUCGGACCCUUUAUUUCCCGAUUCACCUUCUCUUCUUGUCCACUACUACUCGAUCCCUCCUCGAUGAUUGAUAAAGAUGGUGACCUUCUUCUUCCUAGGCGGCGAAGAACCAGCCCAUCCUCUCACGGUCACGGUCACGGUCACGGGUCGUCGUUUACUGUCACCAUUCAGCAUUCUAUCACAUCAACCCUCCCUGAUGUUGGUCUGCAGGUCUGGAAAUCACAACUCGUCUUAUCAGAUUUUGUAUUGCAUAACAUGUCUCUACUCAAUGGCCUUGUGUGCCUUGAACUCGGUGCUGGAACAGGGCUGCUCGGUAUAUUGCUUGCACGGGUGGCCAAGGCUGUUUUCCUUACUGACCACGGAGACCAAAUUCUUGGCAACUGUCUUCGGAACUUGGAAUUGAAUUCUUCCCUCUUUCACCCUCAAGCUAUUGUUAAUGUUCGUGACCUCAACUGGAUGAGCGAAUGGCCUCUUCAAGUUACCCAUGCUGAUCCUAAACCGUUUUGUUGGAGCUUCCAGGACUUUGAACUAGUCAAAAGUGCUAGCUUCAUUUUUGCAGCAGAUGUGAUCUACAGCGAUGAUCUAACCAUUGCCUUGUUCAGCAUGUUAAAGAGACUCAUGUCCUUGGGUUGUGACAAGGUACUAUAUCUGGGUUUGGAGAAAAGAUACAACUUCAGCCUAGACGAUCUCAACGUUGUUGCCAAUGGCUACGCAUGCUUCAGAAGAUACAUCAAAGAAGACGCCCUUUGCGAUCAUUCCGACAAGAAGAGUUUUUUUGUGGGCAACCGCAUCGACCUCAAACAGAUCCCUCAGUACACCCAGGGCUACGAUAGAGGAGAAGAUGUCGAGCUUUGGGAAAUCAGAUAUGUACGUUAACACUCUAAUGAAGGAAGGAUCCAUUUCAUUCGCUUGUAACAACAACAGUUCAGAAAGAGACCAACCUACAAAAAAGAAGAAGCAAUCAACCGUAAGAAACAAGAGCGAUGCAGUCUUGGCGGCUGGAGAAUGGUUGGCGGUUCAAACCAGAAUCGAGCGAU